Molecule: ribosomal RNA, 253 nt
Filed under: uncultured bacterium
Lineage: Bacteria
Description: partial 16S ribosomal RNA
Rfam family: Bacterial small subunit ribosomal RNA
Source: RNAcentral
UACGGGGGGUGCAAGCGUUGUUCGGAUUUACUGGGCGUAAAGGGCGCGUAGGCGGCUCGGCACGUCCGUUGUGAAAUCGCCCGGCUCAACUGGGCGGGGUCGGCGGAUACGGCCGAGCUGGAGCAAGCUAGGGGGUAAUGGAAUUCCCGGUGUAGUGGUGGAAUGCGUAGAUAUCGGGAGGAACACCAGUGGCGAAGGCGGUUACCUGGAGCUUUGCUGACGCUGAUGCGCGAAAGCGUGGGGAGCGAUCCGG